GUGCAAGGAAAGAGGAGAAGCUUUUGCCUAUAUUCUAUACCUCCUUGCCAUCUUGAUAGAAAAUACAGCUCGUGUUCCACCAUAUUGCUAGAUAACAGCACAGUCAGCGAGCCUGAUCCAGGCACACAUUAGAAAGUGUGACUUUGGCAAUAUAUUACAACAUAAAGCACAGAUAUGCAAAUAGAUCUCUGGCUAUUUCUGAUGAGCCAAUACAUCCACUUUCACGAGAAAAGAUUCCAGGGAAAUCCUUUGAGGAUAUCCCAAACGCAACUGCAUUUUCAGAUAUUUCUGUAAUCUUUUAAAGUCACAAAACUAACAGUACCAGGUGCAAUCGUAACAUUGGUA
Molecule: long non-coding RNA, 345 nt
Organism: Cebus imitator (Panamanian white-faced capuchin)
Lineage: Eukaryota; Metazoa; Chordata; Mammalia; Primates; Cebidae
Exons: 5
Source: RefSeq, a predicted model, not a curated record